UACGUAGGGCCCAAGCGUUGUUCGGAUUUACUGGGCGUAAAGGGCGCGUAGGCGGCAAUUCAAGUCACUUGUGAAAUCUCCGAGCUUAACUCGGAACGGUCAAGUGAUACUGCUUUGCUAGAGUGCAGAAGGGGCAACCGGAAUUCUUGGUGUAGCGGUGAAAUGCGUAGAUAUCAAGAGGAACACCGGAGGUGAAGACGGGUUGCUGGGCUGACACUGACGCUGAGGCGCGAAAGCUAGGGUAGCAAACGGG
RNAcentral lists this ribosomal RNA (253 nucleotides) under uncultured bacterium. Its description in RNAcentral is "partial 16S ribosomal RNA". It matches the Rfam family "Bacterial small subunit ribosomal RNA", at positions 524 to 776 of the family's 1533-position model. The record is from RNAcentral.